Molecule: long non-coding RNA, 1398 nt
Organism: Apus apus (common swift)
Lineage: Eukaryota; Metazoa; Chordata; Aves; Apodiformes; Apodidae
Exons: 4
Source: RefSeq, a predicted model, not a curated record
UCACCCUUCAUAGGGAGCCUGCAGAAAGCAGGAACACUCCUGCAGCCUUUGUGCCACUUCCCUUGGAACAAAGUAUUGGGGCACCCAGGAAGGGGAACAGGGAAAGCAGCCAUUUACUGGUGUUAUUUGCACUGUGAUUUUGUAGCUAGCUGGUCUGGGCAAACUGGCACUGAGGGCCCAGGACAGCUGUUGGCUGGAAUUUUUUAAUUAAGGGGGGAAAAAAAGGCUGAUUUGUGCACCAGCUUCUGAGCAAAAGAAUCACAAGCAUUUGGUCCAACCCUGCCUUCCCUUUUCCUACCACACUGACUGUACCUCUGCACAAUCACCUGAUGGACCCUGGCACCUCAUGUUUUAGAGAAUAAAGUAGCUAUUCUCCUCAUCUGUUUAGAAUCAACCUGACCUGAAUCAAUCCAGACCUGAAUGGUAACAAAGAGCAACUUAUAUUUGUCCCUGCCUUGAGAGGACAACUGUCAACCACCUGCUGGAUCAUGACCACACUGCUUUAGUUGAUGCCUAUUAAACAGCUGUUUGGUACCCUGGAAAAAAAGUGUUGAACCAUUACUUGAUCUCCAGCUGCCCGGAGCAGCACUUUCUGCAUGAUCUGGAACUCCUGGCUAUGGUAGAUUGGAGGACCAACUCUUCCAGAAGGGAGGGAGAAGAGAGGAAGGCGGUAGGAAGAAGUUCCUCCAGAGGUGUGGCACAGGAAGAAAACCCUGUGCCAGGCAUGGGAUCACCAGGCAAGCUGCAGGCAGCCGGGGAACCUCCAGCACAAGGAGCAUCACGUGGCACCUGAUCCCAAGCCCAACAGCAGCCAGUGUCUCCAGCACACUUCAAACACACUUGUUCAAGUGAUCACUCAACACCAGAGGUAUUUGCGAGAGAUCUGCUUUUGCAUGUGGUAAUGUCCAUCUGGCAGCAGAUAACUAUUAGGCUUUUGCAGUGCAAAAUGCAGUGCACAUGCUCCAAAUUAAGCAAACCCAGAGCUUAAAGGCAUAAAUCAUAGCACAAUGUUUUCUCUUCCAAGAUGAAGUUUAGCUCCUUUAGAAUUCAGCUUCAACAUAAUGCUCAAUUAAAGGUGUAGAAGCCACUUAACAACUGAACUAACUAGCAAUGCUCCUUGAGACUUUGAGAUGCCCCCAUCAGUUCAGAGAGCAGUUAAGAGGUGACAAUGCUCCGUCCCUGGCUGACUUCAUAUCUUGGGGCUUUUUUUAUCAGAACAGUGGUGAACAUGGGAUGAAAAUUCUGUCGAACCCAAUGGAAGACUCUGAGCCUACUUGGGCCCAGGUUUCCAGCAGCAGGACGCUAACCACUAGGCACCAGGGUGGGCUAUGACAGCUUUUACUUUUUAUUUUAUAAAGAUAAAAACCCUGCCUGGAGUUUGUACAGCUGGAAGAUGAA